ACGAACGCUGGCGGCGUGCCUAAUACCUGCAAGUAGCACGCUGAAGGAGGAGCUUGCUUCUCUGGAUGAGUUGCGAACGGGUGAGUAACGCGUAGGUAACCUGCCUGGUAGCGGGGGAUAACUAUUGGAAACGAUAGCUAAUACCGCAUAAUAGUAGAUGUUGCAUGACAUUUGCUUAAAAGGUGCAAUUGCAUCACUACCAGAUGGACCUGCGUUGUAUUAGCUAGUUGGUGGGGUAACGGCUCACCAAGGCGACGAUACAUAGCCGACCUGAGAGGGUGAUCGGCCACACUGGGACUGAGACACGGCCCAGACUCCUACGGGAGGCAGCAGUAGGGAAUCUUCGGCAAUGGACGGAAGUCUGACCGAGCAACGCCGCGUGAGUGAAGAAGGUUUUCGGAUCGUAAAGCUCUGUUGUAAGAGAAGAACGAGUGUGAGAGUGGAAAGUUCACACUGUGACGGUAUCUUACCAGAAAGGGACGGCUAACUACGUG
RNAcentral lists this ribosomal RNA (494 nucleotides) under uncultured bacterium. RNAcentral's name for it is "partial 16S ribosomal RNA". It matches the Rfam family "Bacterial small subunit ribosomal RNA", at positions 29 to 507 of the family's 1533-position model. The record is from RNAcentral.